GCAGCACGGGGGCAACCCUGGUGGCGAGUGGCGAACGGGUGAGUAAUACAUCGGAACGUGCCCUGUCGUGGGGGAUAACUAGUCGAAAGAUUAGCUAAUACCGCAUACGACCUGAGGGUGAAAGCGGGGGACCGUAAGGCCUCUCGCGACAGGAGCGGCCGAUGUCUGAUUAGCUAGUUGGUGGGGUAAAAGCCUACCAAGGCGACAAUCAGUAGCUGGUCUGAGAGGACGAUCAGCCACACUGGGACUGAGACACGGCCCACACUCCUACGGGAGGCAGCAGUGGGGAAUUUUGGACAAUGGGGGCAACCCUGAUCCACCAAUGCCGCGUGUGUGAAGAAAGCCUUCGGGUUGUAAAGCACUUUUGUCCGGAAAGAAAUGGCUCUGGUUAAUACCCGGGGUCGAUGACAGUACCGGAAGAAUAAGCACCGGCUAACUACGUGCCAGCAGCCGCGGUAAUACGUAGGGUGCGAGCGUUAAUCGGAAUUACUGGGCGUAAAGCGUGCGCACGCGGUUUUGUAAGACAGGCGUGAAAUCCC
Molecule: ribosomal RNA, 539 nt
Filed under: Cupriavidus sp. UFLA01-657
Lineage: Bacteria; Pseudomonadati; Pseudomonadota; Betaproteobacteria; Burkholderiales; Burkholderiaceae
Also listed under: 1 other name
Description: bacterial SSU rRNA
Rfam family: Bacterial small subunit ribosomal RNA
Source: RNAcentral